ACUCGACCGUGCGAGUAUAAAUAGUGUGCUUAGGCACGGUGCGGCAAGAAUAAUCUUGUAUGCAC
This 65-nucleotide ribozyme is filed under the name unclassified sequences. Its description in RNAcentral is "pistol ribozyme". It matches the Rfam family "Pistol ribozyme". The record is from RNAcentral.